GGCUCCAUAGUGUAGUGGUUAGCACAUCUGCUUUACACGCAGAAGGUCCUAGGUUCGUGCCCCCGGUGGAGCCA
This 74-nucleotide transfer RNA is filed under the name Pteropus alecto (black flying fox). It matches the Rfam family "tRNA". Rfam says of the family: Transfer RNA (tRNA) molecules are approximately 80 nucleotides in length. The record is from Rfam by way of RNAcentral. Lineage: Eukaryota; Metazoa; Chordata; Mammalia; Chiroptera; Pteropodidae.